GACGAACGCUGGCGGCGUGCUUAACACAUGCCAGUCGAACGGAAAGGCCCUGCUUUUGUGGGGUGCUCGAGUGGCGAACGGGUGAGUAACACGUGAGUAACCUGCCCUUGACUUUGGGAUAACUUCAGGAAACUGGGGCUAAUACCGGAUAGGAGCUCCUGCUGCAUGGUGGGGGUUGGAAAGUUUCGGCGGUUGGGGAGGGAGUCGCGGCUUAUCAGCUUGUUGGUAGGGUAGGGACUUACCAAGCGUUUGACGGGUAGCCGGCCUGAGCGGGGAAACGGCCACGUCUGGUAUGGGAUGCAGCCGAGAGUACUACGGGACAGCGGUGGGGAAUAUGGCACAAUGGGCGGACGCCUGAUGCAGAAGCGCCGCGUGGGGGAAGACGGCCUUCGGGGUGUAAACCGCUUUAGCCUGUGACGAAGCGUGAGUGACGGUAAUGGGUGAAGAAGCACCGGCUAACUACGUG
This 466-nucleotide ribosomal RNA is filed under the name uncultured bacterium. RNAcentral's name for it is "partial 16S ribosomal RNA". It matches the Rfam family "Bacterial small subunit ribosomal RNA", at positions 28 to 507 of the family's 1533-position model. The record is from RNAcentral.